CUCCAUCACAAGACACAGGAGAAGGAUUUUAGGUACAUCCGCCUCCUGCUUUUUCUUUGUAGGGAGCCCCCUCCCUGGAGCCUAAAGAUAAUCUGGCCUGCCAACCACUGUUUCCACUUCACCUGAAAUAUCUACAAGAUUCUUUUAGAGAAAGACCUGUUAGCACAUUGAUUUAUACUAUUAAAAAUUUGUAUCCCUGCCUUUUACUUGACAUCAAAGAGCCCAUUCCACACCACUCCAUUGUGUUUAUUUU
Pipistrellus kuhlii (Kuhl's pipistrelle) is the source of this 253-nucleotide long non-coding RNA. RefSeq lists it as uncharacterized. Lineage: Eukaryota; Metazoa; Chordata; Mammalia; Chiroptera; Vespertilionidae. The transcript has 3 exons. The record is from RefSeq and is a predicted model, not a curated record.